AUGCUGCUGGAGAAGGGGUACGCCGUGAAGACCACCGUCAGGAACCCCGAUGACACGGAAAAGACCGCGCAUCUCAAGGCCUUGGAAGCGCUCGGACCCUUGGAGGUCUUCCGCGCCGAUCUGAACGAAGAGGGCAGCUUCGACAAUGCUGUCGCCGGCUGCGACUACGCCUUCCUCGUCGCCGCUCCGGUGACCCUCUUGCCGGAGAACCCUGAGGAAGAAGUGAUCCAGCCAGCGAUUCAGGGAACCCUGAACGUGAUGAGGUCGUGCGUGAAGGCGGGGACGGUGAAGCGCGUGGUCCUCACAUCGUCCACGGCCGCCAUCUCCAGCCGGCCGCUGCAAGGUGAAGGCCAUGUCCUGGAUGAGGAAUCCUGGUCCGAUGUCGAGUACCUCAGGGCCAACAAGAUCGGUACCUGGGCGUACCCUGCGUCGAAGGUGCUCGCGGAGAAGGCAGCGAUGGCGUUCGCGGAGGAGAAGGGCCUCAGCCUGGUCACCGUGUGCCCCGUCGUCGUCGUCGGCAGGGCCCCGGCGACAAAGGUGACGACCAGCGUCCCCGAGAUCCUCUCCUUGCUAUCCGGCGACGACGACAUGGUCGACAGACUGGAACUCAUCGAGCAGGCGUCGGGGUCGAUCCCGUUGGUCCACAUCGAGGAGGUGUGCCGCGCCGAGAUAUUCACCGCCGAGGAGGCCACGUCGGGGCGGUACAUCGUGUGCACCCUCAACACCUCCGGCGUGGCGCUCGCCCACUUCCUGGCGGCCAAGUACCCGCAGUACGAAAUCAACACAGAUCAUAUUGGUGGUCUUCCGGAGAAGCCCAGGGUGUGCAUUUGGUCGGACAAGAUCGUCAAGGAAGGGUUCGAGUACAAGUACACUAACCUGGACGAGAUAUACGACGACGUCGUCGUGUACGGGAGGGCCUUGGGAGUCCUUCCAUACUGA
Molecule: ribosomal RNA, 939 nt
Filed under: Triticum aestivum (bread wheat)
Lineage: Eukaryota; Viridiplantae; Streptophyta; Magnoliopsida; Poales; Poaceae
Description: partial small subunit ribosomal RNA
Source: RNAcentral